Molecule: ribosomal RNA, 494 nt
Filed under: uncultured bacterium
Lineage: Bacteria
Description: partial 16S ribosomal RNA
Rfam family: Bacterial small subunit ribosomal RNA
Source: RNAcentral
GACGAACGCUGGCGGCGUGCUUAACACAUGCAAGUCGAACGGUGAAGCGCCUUCCUUUUUGGUGGGUGUGGAUGAGUGGCGAACGGGUGAGUAACACGUGAGUAACCUGCCCCCUUCUUCUGGAUAACCGCAUGAAAGUGUGGCUAAUACGGGAUAUUCUGGGUCUGUCGCAUGAUGGGUCUGGGAAAGAUAAUGUUUCGGUGGGGGAUGGGCUCGCGGCCUAUCAGCUUGUUGGUGGGGUGAUGGCCUACCAAGGCGGUGACGGGUAGCCGGCCUGGGAGGGUGGACGGGCACACUGGAGGUGAGACACGGCCCAGACUCCUACGAGAGGCAGCAGUGGGGAAUACGGGACAAUGGGGGCACGGCUGAUGCAGAGUCGCCGGGUGAGGGAUGGAGGCCUUCGGGUUGUGAACAUCUGUCGCCAGGGAAGCAGGGCUGCAUCGUGUGUGAGUGGGUUGACAGUAACUGGAUAAGAAGCGCCGGCUAACUACGUG